RNAcentral lists this small nuclear RNA (195 nucleotides) under Dichanthelium oligosanthes. RNAcentral describes it as "U2 spliceosomal RNA". It matches the Rfam family "U2 spliceosomal RNA". Rfam says of the family: U2 is a small nuclear RNA (snRNA) component of the spliceosome (involved in pre-mRNA splicing). Complementary binding between U2 snRNA (in an area lying towards the 5' end but 3' to hairpin I) and the branchpoint sequence (BPS) of the intron results the bulging out of an unpaired adenosine, on the BPS, which initiates a nucleophilic attack at the intronic 5' splice site, thus starting the first of two transesterification reactions that mediate splicing. Lineage: Eukaryota; Viridiplantae; Streptophyta; Magnoliopsida; Poales; Poaceae. The record is from Rfam by way of RNAcentral.
AUACCUUUCUCAGCCUUUUGGAUAAGAUCAAGCGUAGUAUCUGUUCUUAUUAGUUUAAUAUCUGAUAUAUAGACCAUUAUGUCCACUUGAUAUUAAAUUUAUUUAUUUUAGGGAAGGAUCUAUCACAAUGGCUUGCCAUUAGGAACCUUAUGUUGCCUAGGCGUUGCCCUGCAGCCUUGGCUUGGCGCACCCCAA